GACGAACGCUGGCGGCGUGCUUAACACAUGCAAGUCGAACGGGAAUUCGUAGUCACAAGUCUCGGUUACAGAUUCCCGAUGAGCGAGGCGAACGGUUGCGUAACGCGUGAGUAACCUGACUAUGACAGUGGGAUAGGCACAGGAAACCGGGUUUAAUACAGCAUAAAAUCGUAGAAACACAUGUUUUAACGGUUAUGGGUUUAUCGGUCAUUGAUGGGCUCGCGUAUGAUUUGCUAGUUGGUGAGAUGACAGACCACCACGGCGACGAUCAGGAGCCGGUCUGAGAGGAUGAACGGCGACACUGGAACUGAGGCACGGUAGCAACGCGUACGGGAGGAAGCAGGGGGGAAUAUUGCAGAAUGGAGGAAGCGCUGAUGCAGCGGCGCCGCGUGAACGAAGAAGGUAUUCAUAGCGAAAAGUUCAGUCCGAUGGGAAGAUAAUGACAGUACCAGAGGAGAAAGCACCGGCUAAAUACGUG
Molecule: ribosomal RNA, 478 nt
Filed under: uncultured bacterium
Lineage: Bacteria
Description: partial 16S ribosomal RNA
Rfam family: Bacterial small subunit ribosomal RNA
Source: RNAcentral